This 429-nucleotide ribosomal RNA is filed under the name Chloroflexota bacterium. Its description in RNAcentral is "Chloroflexi bacterium partial 16S ribosomal RNA". It matches the Rfam family "Bacterial small subunit ribosomal RNA", at positions 355 to 776 of the family's 1533-position model. Lineage: Bacteria; Bacillati; Chloroflexota. The record is from RNAcentral.
UGGGGAAUAUUGCACAAUGGGCGCAAGCCUGAUGCAGCCAUGCCGCGUGUGUGAAGAAGGCCUUCGGGUUGUAAAGCACUUUCAGCGGGGAGGAAGGCGUUAAGGUUAAUAACCUUGGCGAUUGACGUUACCCGCAGAAGAAGCACCGGCUAACUCCGUGCCAGCAGCCGCGGUAAUACGGAGGGUGCAAGCGUUAAUCGGAAUGACUGGGCGUAAAGCGCACGCAGGCGGUCUGUCAAGUCGGAUGUGAAAUCCCCGGGCUCAACCUGGGAACUGCAUUCGAAACUGGCAGGCUAGAGUCUUGUAGAGGGGGGUAGAAUUCCAGGUGUAGCGGUGAAAUGCGUAGAGAUCUGGAGGAAUACCGGUGGCGAAGGCGGCCCCCUGGACGAAGACUGACGCUCAGGUGCGAAAGCGUGGGGAGCAAACAGG